GUUUUCGGAUAAUCGCGCGAUUUUUUAAAAAUCGUGAGGAAAGUCCAUGCUCGCGCGUUGCUGAGAUGCACGCAGUGUUUGUGCUAGGUUAAACAAUAAACCUAGGUAGGAGCGUCAUGCCUAACGGCUGGCGAAAUCACUAAGUUUUUGAUUUUCAAAAAUAUGUGAAAGUAGCCUAUAAAAGUGCCAUAGAGACGAGUCUUGCGGGAAACCGUAAGAAUGGAACGUGGUAAACCCCUCAAGCGAGCAACCCAAACUUAUGGUCGGGGCACUUAACUAGCUGAAAUGAAAGCGUGGUUGAGGCUGAUUUCUUCGGAUUUUGGCAGACAGAUGGUUAUCGAAGGUCUUUUAGACUGGAACAAAACAUGGCUUAUAGAA
This 378-nucleotide RNase P RNA is filed under the name Lactococcus allomyrinae. RNAcentral describes it as "Bacterial RNase P class B". It matches the Rfam family "Bacterial RNase P class B". Rfam says of the family: Ribonuclease P (RNase P) is a ubiquitous endoribonuclease, found in archaea, bacteria and eukarya as well as chloroplasts and mitochondria. Its best characterised activity is the generation of mature 5'-ends of tRNAs by cleaving the 5'-leader elements of precursor-tRNAs. The record is from Rfam by way of RNAcentral. Lineage: Bacteria; Bacillati; Bacillota; Bacilli; Lactobacillales; Streptococcaceae.